This 460-nucleotide ribosomal RNA is filed under the name uncultured bacterium. RNAcentral's name for it is "SSU rRNA". It matches the Rfam family "Bacterial small subunit ribosomal RNA", at positions 26 to 518 of the family's 1533-position model. The record is from RNAcentral.
AGAAUCAACGCUGGCGGCGUGCCUAACACAUGCAAGUCGCACGAGAAAGGGGAGCAAUCCCUGAGUACAGUGGCGCACGGGUGAGUAACACGUGAAUUAUCUACCUCCGAGUGGGGAAUAACUGAGAGAAAUCUUAGCUAAUACCGCAUAACACUUACGAGUCAAAGCAGCAAUGCGCUUGGAGAGGAGUUCGCGGCCGAUUAGUUAGUUGGCGGGGUAAUGGCCCACCAAGACGAUGAUCGGUAUCCGGCCUGAGAGGGCGCACGGACACACUGGAACUGAAACACGGUCCAGACUCCUACGGGAGGCAGCAGUGGGGAAUUUUGCGCAAUGGGGGAAACCCUGACGCAGCAACGCCGCGUGGAGGAUGAAGCCCCUUGGGGUGUAAACUCCUUUCGAUCGGGAAGAUAAUGACGGUACCGAUAUAAGAAGCCCCGGCUAACUUCGUGCCAGCAGCCGC